RNAcentral lists this long non-coding RNA (270 nucleotides) under Lathyrus oleraceus (garden pea). RNAcentral describes it as "Pisum sativum (pea) long non-coding RNA (PSAT_LNC037476)". The record is from RNAcentral. Lineage: Eukaryota; Viridiplantae; Streptophyta; Magnoliopsida; Fabales; Fabaceae.
UCUAUCCAAGCGCAUCACGGUAAUCUUUGGGACUUCAUUCCAAUAAUUGAUAGCAAUCAUGGAAGCAAGCGUAGCGAGAGCAUCCUCCAUCCGAUUCUCAUCUUGAGGAGUAUGAUGGAAGUCAACUUUAGUAAAGAAAGUUGAAAUUCUCCUCGCAUAAUCUCUAUAUGGGAUGAGGCCAGGUUGAUUUGUCUCCCAUUCACCCUUAAUCUAAUUAACAACAAGGGCCAAAUCACCAUAAAUAUCAAGAUGUUUGAUCCUAAGAUCAAC